Molecule: non-coding RNA, 6435 nt
Organism: Anas platyrhynchos (mallard)
Lineage: Eukaryota; Metazoa; Chordata; Aves; Anseriformes; Anatidae
Source: RefSeq, a predicted model, not a curated record
CGCGGAGCGGAGCGGAGCCGGGCAGGGGGCGGGGGGCGGCCGGGCCCUGCAUGGCCGCCCGGGGGGGCUCUGCCGGCGGCGGGGGGGCCAUGGCGGGCCGCGGCUGCUAGGAGCGGGGAGGCGUUCGCCGGCGGCGGCUGCCGACAUGUCGCGGGGAGCCGACAUGUCGCUGGGCGCGGAGGAGGAGGAGGAGUACGGGCGGCUGGUGAUGGAGUCGGAGCCCGAGUGGCUGCGCAGCGAGGUGAAGCGGCUCUGCCAGGAGCUGGGCGAGACCACCCGCGAGAAGAUCCAGGCGGCCGAGUACGGGCUGGCCGUGCUGGAGGAGAAGCAGCAGCUGAAGCAGCAGUACGAGGAGCUGGAGCUCGAGUACGAGACCAUCCGCGCCGAGAUGGAGCAGCUCAAGGAGGCUUUUGGGCAGGCUCAUACCAACCACAAGAAGGUAGCAGCAGAUGGAGAGAGCAGAGAAGAAACCUUGAUUCAGGAGUCAGCUACCAAGGAAGAGUACUACAUGAAGAAGGUUAUGGAGCUGCAGACAGAACUGAAGCAGCUCAGAAAUGUCCUUGCCAACACCCAGUCUGAAAACGAACGCCUUAAUUCUGUUGCACAGGAACUGAAAGAGGUCAACCAGAAUGUGGAGAUCCAAAGGGCCCGUCUGCGAGAUGAUAUUAAGGAAUAUAAAUUCCGAGAAGCCCGUUUGCUGCAAGACUACACUGAGCUGGAAGAAGAAAACAUCUGUCUCCAGAAACAAGUGUCUGUCCUGAAGCAAAACCAGGUGGAAUUUGAAGGUCUGAAACACGAAAUCAAAAGGCUUGAAGAAGAAACAGAAUUUCUCAACAGCCAGCUGGAAGAUGCCAUUCGGCUGAAGGAGAUCUCUGAACGCCAGCUUGAGGAGGCCUUAGAGACUCUGAAGACAGAGAGGGAGCAGAAGAACAAUCUUCGUAAGGAGCUGUCCCACUACAUGAACAUCAAUGACUCCAUGUACAACAGUCACCUGAACAUCUCAUUGGAUGGGCUGAAGUUCAGCGAUGAAGCCACAGAGCCCAAUAAUGAUGAAAUCAUGAAUGGAUUUGAACAAAAUUGCCUCAGCAAACUCAGCAAUGGCAAGAAUACAUCAACGCCCAGGAAAAAUGAAGGCUUCCCUCCAGCACCAAGUCUGGUUUCAGAUCUUCUGAGUGAAUUAAACAUUUCUGAAAUCCAGAAGCUGAAACAACAGCUUGUACAGAUGGAAAGAGAAAAGGUGAAUUUGUUAACGACACUACAGGAGUCUCAGAAACAGCUGGAAAACACACGAGGGGCCCUCUCAGAGCAGCAUGAGAAAGUUGGCAGGCUUACUGAAAACCUGAAUGCAAUGAAGAAGCUCCAAGUCAGCAAGGAGCGUCAGUCUGCCCUCGACAACGAGAAGGACCGGGACAGCCAUGAAGAUGGAGAUUAUUAUGAAGUUGACAUCAAUGGGCCAGAGAUCCUGGAGUGCAAAUACAAAGUGGCUGUGGCAGAGAUUACUGACCUAAAAGAAGAACUUAAAAAUCUGAAGACGAAAUACAAAGAAUGUGAGUCUAAGUAUGAGGAAGACAAGAGCAGAUAUGAAACUGAGAGCCAAGCUCUCACUGAAAAGAUCGCCUCAUUAGAAAAAUCCAGCAGGCAUGAUAGAGAGCAAGUGGCCAGACUGGAGAAGGAGCUGAAGAAAGUCAGUGAUGUUGCUGGAGAAACACAGGGCAGCCUCAGUGUGGCACAAGAUGAGCUGGUCACCUUCAGUGAGGAACUGGCCAACUUGUACCACCAUGUCUGCAUGUGCAACAAUGAAACUCCAAACAGAGUGAUGCUGGAUUACUACAAGGAAGGUAAAGGAGGACGCAGUAGUCCAGAGACCAAGGGAAGGAGGUCUCCUAUUCUUCUUUCUAAGGGGCUGUUAACUAUCGAGCUUGGAAAGGCAGAGAAUGGAAGCGGUGACAGCAGCCCAUCUCCAGUGUCAUCUCUGCCAUCUCCUGUGUCAGAUCCUCGGAAGGAACCAAUGAACAUUUACAACUUGAUCGCAAUAAUCCGGGAUCAGAUCAAACACCUGCAAGCUGCUGUGGACAGAACAACUGAGUUGUCCAGGCAGCGAGUUGCCACUCAAGAACUUGGGCCAGUGGUGGACAAAGACAAGGAAGCUCUCAUGGAAGAAAUCCUGAAGCUGAAGUCCCUGCUGAGCACCAAGAGAGAACAGAUAGCAACUCUGAGAACUGUGCUGAAGGCCAACAAACAGACUGCAGAGGUGGCCCUUGCCAACUUAAAAAGCAAGUAUGAAAACGAGAAAGCGAUGGUUACGGAGACAAUGAUGAAGCUGCGAAAUGAGCUGAAGGCUUUGAAAGAAGAUGCUGCUACAUUUUCUUCCCUGAGAGCAAUGUUUGCUACAAGAUGUGAUGAAUAUGUCACACAGCUGGAUGAAAUGCAGCGUCAGCUUGCAGCAGCUGAAGAUGAGAAGAAGACUCUGAACUCCUUGCUUCGGAUGGCUAUCCAGCAGAAACUGGCACUGACCCAGCGUCUGGAGCAUUUGGAGCUAGACCACGAGCAGUCCAAAAGGGUGCGCACAAAAUCUGCUUCCAAAGCCAAGAGCAGUAACCCUAGUGUAAGUCAUAUUCGGUCCUGCGGAGACAGGUCUGAAGGAUCUGUCCUUAAUAACCAGGUGUUUUGUAGUGAAAAAUAUAAAAUCUAUUGUGACUAGAAGAGGUGUGUAGAAAAAUCAUAUUAUGCAUCUUAUUUUAUGCUGUAACUGUCAGCGUAAAUCCCCACUAUCUAAUGUCGCAGUGAGUUGGCUUGUACUAGUAAGUUGUUAAACCAGGUAAUACAAAUUGUAUUAUGGUGGUCUUAACUGUAAUUCAUAAGUACGGGGAUGGUAUUAACAAGUUAAUAGUGGAAAGGAAUUAGCUUUUUCCACAAUUAACAUGUAUGAGUUUUGCUGUUUAUGGUAAGUGUUAAGAGUACACCUGAUAUACUCUGGUUACUAAUUGUAGUUUGUGUAGCACAAAUGUGAUCCUUUCUCCAGGGUUGCAGCAGACUUCAAUAAAUGCUUUCACAGACAGAAGCAAACAGAAAACUUCCCUUGCUAGUGUGACUUAAGUAGUGGUGAAAAGCACAUGUGGUAAAAAGCAAGUGUAAAGAUUAGAAGUAUGUCUCGAAAACUCAGAACAUUUUGAAACUGGAACCAAAAUUAAUUUGCCUGUUAUGGCAGAUACUAAGAACUUGCUGUCAUAUCACCACUUAUCAACAUACUAAAGCUUUUACAGGUAAUAAAAGCUGGAAAAAAAAUAUGGUAGGUUACAUUAUUUACACUCUGCUUCCCUCGCUUCAGAGGGUUAACCAGAAGAAAGUGGCACAUUUAUAUUAAAAAUAUGCAAUAUUUACCCCAUCUGGUAUAAAACCUAAAAUUUUGCGAAUUGGGAGCCUACCUGGUAGACAGUUCUACCUGAAGAAGUUAUGCUGUGGAAAAAUAUAAUGUCUUGAAAGGAUCUUUGUGGUGUCCUGUUGCUCCUUGCAGCAUAACACUUUGGAAAGAAUCUGUUUUAUGUAUUACUGUAGCCACACAACUUAUCUGUGUAGAACUAAUGUGACUAUGGUCUAGUAUUGUCAGUCACAAAACAGAUUUUCUCAGCUUUCAGUAUUAAUCUGAACAGGAUAGUAUUUCAGAGCUCUGAUCAUUUUUUUUAAAUACACAGAAGAUACUGCAUUCAUUAUGCAAGAACAUGUUUCACAGGGCUCUACAUUAUAGGCACAGGAAAUUGAGCAGAUCAUCCACUAAUUAAUAUUUAUGAAGUAGCUUAGUAUACAUAAUAUUCUUUAAGACAAACAAACCUUUGUCUGCUAUUGAACUUCUAAGAGGCCUUUUUAGCCACUCAAUUUCAAUAUGUUUGAAAAUAUAAAAGUGUACUUUGUAAUUGGUGCCUAUAUAAGAGAAAAAAGAUUGAAAAAGUUGUUUCUAAAAUUGUGGAAAAUUUGUGGAGCACAACAAGGCACACUUUUUUUCCCCUUUAAAACAGUUUUAAAGUGCCUAGCCUCAAACUUUAUUUUAAUGUAAAGCCCUGUUCAUUUUGUACUCUUUCAGAUAAUUUUGUAUGCCUAUAGUAUUACUUAAAAGCAAUGCGAGACUGCACAGUUGUCUGCUUGAUAGUGAUGUUUUAUAAAGCCAUUCUAAUAUUCCUGGUGUGGUACUGCCUCAUCUCACUACCAUUUCUUAUAGAUGAUCAGCAGCUUGCUUCCUGUGCAUUGCCGCUCUGCCUAUAAGUAGUCAGGAGAUAUCACAAUACUAAUAUAAGCUGUAGAAUAGUCCAUGGAGAAGGCCUUUCCAACAGUGCAACAACAUUUCUUACCCUCUUUCAUUAUGGUUAAAAGUGGUAGCCCAUUGCACAAAGAAUGCAAACCACUGACCUGAUCCUAACUUUUGAGAACACCUUUUCCUAUAUACUACCUGAAACUUCUCUUUUAUAUCUCGAGCUAUAAAACAAACAAGCUUUACCUAUAAGUGCUGCUGCAGUAAGAAAACUUACAAGUGCUGAAGAAACCUACUUCAAAUGUAAUGAUCACCAUAUUAGUUUAUGAUCUACUAGAAAUGUUCCGAUGGGGGGAAUUUCUUAUUUCAUUGCAGAUGCUCAUUUUUUAUCUGAUUCUUAAACUGUGCACUUUUGAUAUUUUGAUAUUUUUCUUUAGCUUCUUUAAUUCCUUAUGUAGAAGAGUUUAUAUAAAUGCAGUGGCUUGUGCUUAUAGUUUCUCUUCAACUUCAGCUUGUGACUGUUGAUUUCUACAUCAGCAUGUGGCAGAGAUUUUUUUUUUUUUUUUUUUUUGGCUCUAGAUGUGUUUAGAAAAGAGUUUCAACAAAAAAAAAAAACAGGAGCUCUGCUAAACUAUGUGUGUGCUGUGCUUCAGCAGCUUUUUUGUUAUGAAAUAUUAAGCUUUAUAUGUUUAAAUUACUGAUUUUUUUUUUUGACUGCCAUGUUCAUUAAGAAAUCCAGGGUAUUCAAAUUCUGGGGUUUUUUUCAUAUUGUAUUAUUAUUCUUAGGAAUAGUUCAAUGUAACAAGAAGAAAACUUGACUUUGCUCUGGUUAAAACAGUAAUAGGCACUUGAAAAAUAUUAAAUAAGUAGUAUUACCUAUAAAUUCCAGAAUUCCUGGGUUUUAGGAAGUUGAAGUAUUAUUGAUUAACAGAAUUUUAUACAACUGUACCAGUUAAAUUCCAAAUUGGAAUUGUUUUGUUACUUUUUCAUUUUUAUUGUGCCAAAUUAUGGUACAUUUAGAAAGAAAAAUUCUAAAGUUGUCAAUGAUAGGGUGUUACAUAUCAGCGCCUUUCUGUCGUUAAUUAUUGCCAGUAGUGCCUUUAAUCAUUUUAAGGAAGAAUCUUAGAAUAGCUAGGUCUACACACAAAGAAAUGGAAUGGCUGUUUUGGAAUUUAGUCAAGAUGUGGAGCAAUAAGUGCAAAGUGAACUCCCCCUUCGCACAUUUUUAAUGGGUAGUCUUAUUAUAAUAGAGAUUAUAUAUUCAAGGAAUUGUAAAAAAUUCUGUUAGUCAAUGAUAUUUCAUCAUGCAAAUCCUUGCAAAUUCAGGGGAAUAGAGGGGAGAAAAAUAAACAAACCUGAAUACACUUUGGGAACCAAAUGGACUCAUGUUGAACAGAUGAGCAAGAUGUAUUAACACAUUUGUGGUAACAGUACAGAGAGCGUAUUGGGAAUAUUGAUGUUAUGUUAGCUUUGUUUGGUGGUGGAUGCAGUUAACCAUAGUAUUGUUUGCAAAUGUGAACAACAAAACAUUAAUAUCUUCUCUUGCAUGUUAUAUCUAAUCAUUGUAAUUUCAGGAAACAGAAACAGAAGUGCAUCAACAAGCUGUACCUACCUCUCUGGUGCUGUUUGUUGAGGCUCACAUGAAUGAUUAAAUUGAUACUUGCUGGGGGGGAGCCUUCCCACUCCUCAAAAAAAAAGUACAAAUUGAAAUAAUAUUGACAGUGGGAAAAGAUUUCUGUUUGCUGGAAAAAAAAGCAAAAACACACAGACAUUAUUAUUCCUAGAUGUGGGGACUUAAUAUUUCCAUCUUCUGUUACAGUAUUGAUUCAUAAGAAAUAUUGUUGCAUUUAAAAUUACUACAUUUGUAUGUGGGUAUUUAUUUGAAAUGAUGUCGAAGUACUGUAUUAUGUUCUAUGUGCAUUACCUUUUAGUGGUGGAUUGGUCUCCAUUUAAUGUCCUAUGCAUGUAUUCUUGCCAAGUAACCUUUACACAGAUAUGGAAAAAAAUGUUAAAGAGAAAAAUGUGGAAACUGAUUCUUAAAGUAUAACUGUGUGUUAAUUGGAUAACCUUAGGAGACAUAGAGGGCAAAAUGUUACUUCCAAAUUAAUACAAAAAGUGUUUAAUGUAGGAAAGCAAUCUGCCUGCGUAAAGGUAGUCACAUUGGCAGUAUCAAUAAAAGAGAAAAGGAAUCA